This 475-nucleotide ribosomal RNA is filed under the name uncultured bacterium. RNAcentral describes it as "bacterial SSU rRNA". It matches the Rfam family "Bacterial small subunit ribosomal RNA", at positions 28 to 507 of the family's 1533-position model. The record is from RNAcentral.
GAUGAACGCUGGCGGCGUGCCUCAAACAUGCAAGUCGAGCGGGACUAUGUAAUAUCGCAAGGUAGAACAUAGCCUAGCGGCGAACGGGUGAGUAACACGUGGGUAACCUGCCUGGAAGACAGGGAUAACGAUUCGAAAGGGUCGCUAAUACCUGAUAAUAUCCUUUCAUCGCAUGGUGAUAGGAAGAAAGGGGAAACCCGCUUUCAGAUGGGCCCGCGUCCCAUCAGCUAGUUGGUAAGGUAAAGGCUUACCAAGGCGACGACGGGUAGCCGGUCUGAGAGGAUGUACGGCCACACUGGGACUGAGAUACGGCCCAGACUCCUACGGGAGGCAGCAGUUGGGAAUCUUAGGCAAUGGACGAAAGUCUGACCUAGCGACGCCGCGUGAGGGAAGAAGGCCUUCGGGUUGUAAACCUCUGUCAUGGGGGAAGAAGGAAGUGACGGUACCCCAAGAGGAAGCCCCUGCUAACUACGUG